GGAUAGGUGCCCUGGAUCCAGCAGACAACCUGGACAAUCCUUCCUCUGCCACUAAUCCCACAAACACAGUAUCCCCAGUUCCCUCCAGGUUAUUCCACUGGCCUUGUGCCCCAGCAGAAUCUUGGCACAGUUCCCUUCCAUUCCAGAGACUUCCCUGAGCUGGUCUGCAUCCAGCCGGAGGAUCAGAGGGUCUCAGACACCUCUGGGGGACCCAGAGCCAAAAAGACAGCAGACAGUCCUGCCUAAGAAAUUACAAGCAAAACAAC
Octodon degus (degu) is the source of this 266-nucleotide long non-coding RNA. RefSeq lists it as uncharacterized. NCBI's taxonomy places the organism in Eukaryota, Metazoa, Chordata, Mammalia, Rodentia, Octodontidae. The record is from RefSeq and is a predicted model, not a curated record. The transcript is spliced from 3 exons.